AACGANUGCUAAUACCGCAUACGCCCUACGGGGGAAAGCRGGGGACCUUCGGGCCUUGCGCGAUUGGAUAUGCCCNGGUGGGAUUARCUUGUUGGUGAGGUAAUGGCUCACCMMGGCGACGAUCCCUAGCUGGUCUGAGAGGAUGAUCAGCCACACUGGAACUGARACACGGUCCAGACUCCUACGGGAGGCAGCAGUGGGGAAUAUUGCACAAUGGGGGAAACCCUGAUGCASCCAUGCCGCGUGUGUGAAGAARGCCUUCGGKUUGUAAAGCACUUUCAGCGAGGAGGAAAGGUUGAURCCUAAUACGUAUCAGCUGUGACGUUACUCGCAGAAGAAGCACCGGCUAACUCCGUGCCAGCAGCCGCGGUAAUACC
RNAcentral lists this ribosomal RNA (377 nucleotides) under Aeromonas sp. TC2. Its description in RNAcentral is "partial 16S ribosomal RNA". It matches the Rfam family "Bacterial small subunit ribosomal RNA", at positions 155 to 527 of the family's 1533-position model. Lineage: Bacteria; Pseudomonadati; Pseudomonadota; Gammaproteobacteria; Aeromonadales; Aeromonadaceae. The record is from RNAcentral.